This 72-nucleotide transfer RNA is filed under the name Candidatus Woesearchaeota archaeon. RNAcentral's name for it is "tRNA-Thr". It matches the Rfam family "tRNA". From Rfam's summary of the family: Transfer RNA (tRNA) molecules are approximately 80 nucleotides in length. Their secondary structure includes four short double-helical elements and three loops (D, anti-codon, and T loops). The record is from RNAcentral. Lineage: Archaea; Nanobdellati; Candidatus Woesearchaeota.
GCCACCGUGGCUCAAUGGCAGAGCAGCUGACUUGUAAUCAGCAGGUUGGGGGUUCAAUUCCCCUCGGUGGCU